AACGACCUCCACAGGGUCUGGAUCCUGCAUCAGGACUCGGAUCUGGAGGUUUUUCU
Oreochromis aureus is the source of this 56-nucleotide microRNA precursor. NCBI's taxonomy places the organism in Eukaryota, Metazoa, Chordata, Actinopteri, Cichliformes, Cichlidae. The record is from Ensembl.